AUUGAACGCUGGCGGCAGGCUUAACACAUGCAAGUCGAGCGGGGUGAUGUAGCUUGCUACAUUACCUAGCGGCGGACGGGUGAGUAAUGCUUAGGAAUCUGCCUAUUAGUGGGGGACAACAUUCCGAAAGGAAUGCUAAUACCGCAUACGCCCUACGGGGGAAAGCAGGGGAUCUUCGGACCUUGCGCUAAUAGAUGAGCCUAAGUCAGAUUAGCUAGUUGGUGGGGUAAAGGCCUACCAAGGCGACGAUCUGUAGCGGGUCUGAGAGGAUGAUCCGCCACACUGGGACUGAGACACGGCCCAGACUCCUACGGGAGGCAGCAGUGGGGGAUAUUGGACAAUGGGCGAAAGCCUGAUCCAGCCAUGCCGCGUGUGUGAAGAAGGCCUUUUGGUUGUAAAGCACUUUAAGCGAGGAGGAGGCUACUUGGAUUAAUACUCUAGGAUAGUGGACGUUACUCGCAGAAUAAGCACCGGCUAACUCUGUGCCAGCAGCCGCCGUAA
Molecule: ribosomal RNA, 501 nt
Filed under: uncultured bacterium
Lineage: Bacteria
Description: partial 16S ribosomal RNA
Rfam family: Bacterial small subunit ribosomal RNA
Source: RNAcentral